AGCGAACGCUGGCGGCAGGCCUAACACAUGCAAGUCGAACGAACCUUUCGGGGUUAGUGGCGGACGGGUGAGUAACACGUGGGAACGUGCCUUUAGGUUCGGAAUAACUCAGGGAAACUUGUGCUAAUACCGAAUGUGCUCUUCGGGGGAAAGAUUAAUCGCCUUUAGAGCGGCCGGCGUCUGAUUAGCUAGUUGGUUGAGGUAAUGGCUCACCAAGGCGACGAUCAGUAGCUGGUCUGAGAGGAUGAUCAGCCACAUUGGGACUGAGACACGGCCCAAACUCCUACGGGAGGCAGCAGUGGGGAAUCUUGCGCAAGGGGCGAAAGCCUGACGCAGCCAUGCCGCGUGAAUGAUGAAGGUCUUAGGAGUGUAAAAUUCUUUCACCGGGGACGAUAAUGACGGUACCCGGAGAAGAAGCCCCGGCUAACUUCGUG
RNAcentral lists this ribosomal RNA (434 nucleotides) under uncultured bacterium. RNAcentral describes it as "partial 16S ribosomal RNA". It matches the Rfam family "Bacterial small subunit ribosomal RNA", at positions 29 to 507 of the family's 1533-position model. The record is from RNAcentral.